GAGUUUGAUUCUGGCUCAGGAUGAACGCUGGCGGCAUGCCUAACACAUGCAAGUUGAACGAGAAGUUCUGGAGGGAGUCUUCGGACGAACGAAGGAAUGGAAAGUAGCGAACGGGUGAGUAACGCGUGGGCAACCAACCUUACACAGGGGGAUAACGCAGAGAAAUUUGCGCUAAUACCGCAUAAGCGCACAGUACCGCAUGGUACGGUGUGAAAAACUCCGGUGGUGUAAGACGGGCCCGCGUCUGAUUAGUUAGUUGGUGAGGUAAAAGCUCACCAAGGCGACGAUCAGUAGCCGACCUGAGAGGGUGAUCGGCCACAUUGGGACUGAGACACGGCCCAAACUCCUACGGGAGGCAGCAGUGGGGGAUAUUGCACAAUGGAGGGAACUCUGAUGCAGCAAUGCCGCGUGAAGGAAGACGGUUUUCGGAUUGUAAACUUCUAUCAGCAGGGAAGAAAA
This 459-nucleotide ribosomal RNA is filed under the name Lachnospiraceae bacterium canine oral taxon 073. RNAcentral's name for it is "bacterial SSU rRNA". It matches the Rfam family "Bacterial small subunit ribosomal RNA", at positions 9 to 451 of the family's 1533-position model. Lineage: Bacteria; Bacillati; Bacillota; Clostridia; Lachnospirales; Lachnospiraceae. The record is from RNAcentral.